CAUGCAAGUCGAACGGUAACAGGAAUUAGCUUGCUAAUUUGCUGACGAGUGGCGCACGGGUGCGUAACGCGUAUACAAUCUACCUUUUGCUGAGGGAUAGCCCAGAGAAAUUUGGAUUAAUACCUCAUAGUAUUAUUGAUAGGCAUCUAUUAAUAAUUAAAGGUUACGGCAAAAGAUGAGUAUGCGUCCCAUUAGCUAGUUGGCGAGGUAACGGCUCACCAAGGCAACGAUGGGUAGGGGUCCUGAGAGGGAGAUCCCCCACACUGGUACUGAGACACGGACCAGACUCCUACGGGAGGCAGCAGUGAGGAAUAUUGGACAAUGGGCGAGAGCCUGAUCCAGCCAUGCCGCGUGCAGGAAGACUGCCCUAUGGGUUGUAAACUGCUUUUAUACAGGAAGAAUAAGCCUUACGUGUAAGGUGAUGACGGUACUGUAAGAAUAAGGACCGGCUAACUCCGUGCCAGCAGCCGCGGUAAUACGGAGGGUCCGAGCGUUAUCCGGAAUUAUUGGGUUUAAAGGGUCCGUAGGCGGAUGAUUAAGUCAGGGGUGAAAGUUUGCAGCUCAACUGUAAAAUUGCCUUUGAUACUGGUUAUCUUGAGUUGUAUUGAAGUAGGCGGAAUAUGUAGUGUAGCGGUGAAAUGCAUAGAUAUUACAUAGAACACCAAUUGCGAAGGCAGCUUACUAAGUACUAACUGACGCUGAUGGACGAAGGCGUGGGUAGCGAACAGGAUUAGAUACCCUGGUAGUCCACGCCGUAAACGAUGGAUACUAGCUGUUCGGG
This 781-nucleotide ribosomal RNA is filed under the name uncultured Bacteroidota bacterium. RNAcentral describes it as "bacterial SSU rRNA". It matches the Rfam family "Bacterial small subunit ribosomal RNA", at positions 54 to 828 of the family's 1533-position model. Lineage: Bacteria; Pseudomonadati; Bacteroidota. The record is from RNAcentral.